CCUACGGGAGGCAGCAGUGAGGAAUAUUGGUCAAUGGUCGGGAGACUGAACCAGCCAAGCCGCGUGAGGGAUGAAGGUACAGAGUAUCGUAAACCUCUUUUGUCAGGGAACAAAGGCGGGGACGUGUCCCCGGAUGAGUGUACCUGAAGAAAAAGCAUCGGCUAACUCCGCGCCAGCAGCCGCGGUAAUACGGAGGAUGCGAGCGUUAUCCGGAUUUAUUGGGUUUAAAGGGUGGGCAGGCGGUCGGUUAGGUAGGCGGGCAAAGCCCGGGGUUCAACCCCGGCCCGCCGUUGAAACUGGCAGUCUCGAGUUGGAGAGAGGUAUGCGGAAUGCGCGGUGUAGCGGUGAAAUGCGUAGAUAUCGCGAAGAACUCCGAUUGCGAAGGCAGCAUGCCGGCUCCACACUGACGCUGAGGCACGAAAGCGUGGGUAUCGAACAGGAUUAGAUACCCGGGUAGUC
RNAcentral lists this ribosomal RNA (459 nucleotides) under uncultured bacterium. RNAcentral's name for it is "partial 16S ribosomal RNA". It matches the Rfam family "Bacterial small subunit ribosomal RNA", at positions 338 to 795 of the family's 1533-position model. The record is from RNAcentral.